CUCCCUCAUUUGCUCUUCAGGACAUGAAUGGCUUCUCUAGCUCCUGGCCCGAUCAGGGCUACUACAUUCUGAAAACAUAAUUUUUCUUGUGUAUUGAAAAAAAAUACUUUUUACAUGUUAUUCUCUUCUUAGACAUGGCCUAUAUGCUACUUAAAUAUUAGCGUGUGGGAGCUACUCGGUAAAUACAAGUUCCCUUCUCUUGUCCCUCAGGUAUUUGCUUGCUAUUCAUUACUGAAAGGGAUGGAGAUAAGAUGCUGGCAUCCCUAAAUCAUCUAAUGAUAAAUUCAGCAAGCCAUACACAUUUGCUACUGAAAUCAACAACUUCAGU
Molecule: long non-coding RNA, 328 nt
Filed under: Felis catus (domestic cat)
Lineage: Eukaryota; Metazoa; Chordata; Mammalia; Carnivora; Felidae
Description: lncRNA (ENSFCAG00000042367.2)
Source: RNAcentral